RNAcentral lists this ribosomal RNA (619 nucleotides) under Pterula sp. RNAcentral describes it as "partial large subunit ribosomal RNA". It matches the Rfam family "Eukaryotic large subunit ribosomal RNA", at positions 117 to 756 of the family's 3401-position model. Lineage: Eukaryota; Fungi; Basidiomycota; Agaricomycetes; Agaricales; Pterulaceae. The record is from RNAcentral.
CAGUUCUUGCAGCUGUCCGAGUUGUAAUUUAGAGAAGUGCUAUCCGCGCUGGACCGUGUACAAGUCUCCUGGAACGGAGCGUCAUAGAGGGUGAGAAUCCCGUACAUGGCACGGACUACCUGUGCAUUGUGAUGCGCUCUCAAAGAGUCGAGUUGUUUGGGAAUGCAGCUCAAAAUGGGUGGUAAAUUCCAUCUAAAGCUAAAUACAGGCGAGAGACCGAUAGCGAACAAGUACCGUGAGGGAAAGAUGAAAAGAACUUUGGAAAGAGAGUUAAACAGUACGUGAAAUUGUUGAAAGGGAAACGCUUGAAGUCAGUCGCGUCGUUCAGGGAUCAGCCUUGCUCUGCUUGGUGUACUUCCUGUCCGACGGGUCAGCAUCAGUUUUGACCGUUGGAAAAAGUUCUCAGGAAUGUGACAUCUUCGGAUGUGUUAUAGCCUGAGUCCGUAUACAGCGGUUGGGACUGAGGACUCAGCACUAGAUGCUUGGGAUGCUGGCAUAAUGGCUUUAAGCGACCCGUCUUGAAACACGGACCAAGGAGUCUAACAUGCCCGCGAGUGUUUGGGUGGAAAACCCGAGCGCGCAAUGAAAGUGAAAAGUUGGGAUCUCUGUCGUGGAGAGC